This is a long non-coding RNA of Podarcis raffonei (Aeolian wall lizard), 359 nucleotides long. RefSeq lists it as uncharacterized. The record is from RefSeq and is a predicted model, not a curated record. NCBI's taxonomy places the organism in Eukaryota, Metazoa, Chordata, Lepidosauria, Squamata, Lacertidae. The transcript is spliced from 2 exons.
GUCAGUCUGAUGGUUACUUGGUUGCAGAAGUUUACUGGCCAUUGCUGUUGUCAUGGAGAUAGUCUAGGUUGAAUGCAAACAUGCCAUUCUGAUGUCAUGUGUGAUGUCACAAAGAGGAUAUGCUUUAAGUCUUGGUAAAGCCAAAAGCAGUUAACAGUCAGACUGCAUCUCAGCACUGUCAAGAUGGAUCUCCAUAAUAGAGUCGCCAUCUUGCUGGGGUCCAUUACUGUUGUUGUUUCCUGUAUUUGAAACCCUCCUGAGCUUUCCUAGGACAUGAGGUCUCCUCACCAUCUCACUGACAAGUAUUACCAGAUAGCUUACCACUACUCCCUCAAUAAAGAAACAGUUCAGCUCUUUAA